AGAGUUUGAUCAUGGCUCAGAACGAACGUUAGCGGCGCGCCUAACACAUGCAAGUCGCACGAGAAAGGGCUUCGGCCCCGGUACAGUGGCGCACGGGUGAGUAACACGUGGGUAAUCUGCACUCGAGUGGGGGAUAACAUUCCGAAAGGAGUGCUAAUACCGCAUAAGACCACGCCCUCGAAAGGGGAAGCGGUCAAAGCUGGCCUCUAUACAUAAGCUAGCGCUUGAGAAUGAGCCCGCGGGGCAUCAGCUAGUUGGUGAGGUAAUGGCUCACCAAGGCUUAGACGCCUAGCUGGUCUGAGAGGAUGAUCAGCCACACUGGAACUGAGACACGGUCCAGACUCCUACGGGAGGCAGCAGUGGGGAAUCUUGCGCAAUGGGCGAAAGCCUGACGCAGCGACGCCGCGUGAGUGAUGAAGGCCUUCGGGUUGUAAAGCUCUGUGGGGAGAGAAGAAUAAGUGCGGGCUAAUACUCCGCAUGAUGACGGUUCUCCUAGCAG
This 499-nucleotide ribosomal RNA is filed under the name uncultured Polyangiaceae bacterium. Its description in RNAcentral is "bacterial SSU rRNA". It matches the Rfam family "Bacterial small subunit ribosomal RNA", at positions 8 to 489 of the family's 1533-position model. Lineage: Bacteria; Pseudomonadati; Myxococcota; Polyangiales; Polyangiaceae. The record is from RNAcentral.